This 484-nucleotide ribosomal RNA is filed under the name uncultured bacterium. RNAcentral describes it as "partial 16S ribosomal RNA". It matches the Rfam family "Bacterial small subunit ribosomal RNA", at positions 30 to 507 of the family's 1533-position model. The record is from RNAcentral.
AUUGAACGCUGGCGGCAGGCCUAACACAUGCAAGUCGAGCGGAUGAAGGGAGCUUGCUCCUGGAUUCAGCGGCGGACGGGUGAGUAAUGCCUAGGAAUCUGCCUGGUAGUGGGGGAUAACGUCCGGAAACGGGCGCUAAUACCGCAUACGUCCUGAGGGAGAAAGUGGGGGAUCUUCGGACCUCACGCUAUCAGAUGAGCCUAUGUCGGAUUAGCUAGUUGGUGGGGUAAAGGCCUACCAAGGCGACGAUCCGUAGCUGGUCUGAGAGGAUGAUCAGUCACACUGGAACUGAGACACGGUCCAGACUCCUACGGGAGGCAGCAGUGGGGAAUAUUGGACAAAGGGCGAAAGCCUGAUCCAGCCAUGCCGCGUGUGUGAAGAAGGUCUUCGGAUUGUAAAGCACUUUAAGUUGGGAGGAAGGGCAGUAAGUUAAUACCUUGCUGUUUUGACGUUACCAACAGAAUAAGCACCGGCUAACUUCGUG